GGUCCGGUGGCGAAAUGGUAUCGUGUGGUCCUCCUAAUUCGGGAGGAUAAGACUGAGGUUGUGGGUUCGAGUCCCAUCCGGAUCG
This is a transfer RNA of Neurospora crassa OR74A, 85 nucleotides long. It matches the Rfam family "tRNA". From Rfam's summary of the family: Transfer RNA (tRNA) molecules are approximately 80 nucleotides in length. Their secondary structure includes four short double-helical elements and three loops (D, anti-codon, and T loops). Further hydrogen bonds mediate the characteristic L-shaped molecular structure. tRNAs have two regions of fundamental functional importance: the anti-codon, which is responsible for specific mRNA codon recognition, and the 3' end, to which the tRNAs corresponding amino acid is attached (by aminoacyl-tRNA synthetases). tRNAs cope with the degeneracy of the genetic code in two manners: having more than one tRNA (with a specific anti-codon) for a particular amino acid; and 'wobble' base-pairing, i.e. permitting non-standard base-pairing at the 3rd anti-codon position. NCBI's taxonomy places the organism in Eukaryota, Fungi, Ascomycota, Sordariomycetes, Sordariales, Sordariaceae. The record is from Rfam.